Molecule: long non-coding RNA, 1080 nt
Filed under: Nicotiana benthamiana
Lineage: Eukaryota; Viridiplantae; Streptophyta; Magnoliopsida; Solanales; Solanaceae
Description: long non-coding RNA (NBEN_LNC004763)
Source: RNAcentral
UGAUGCGAUAAUAAGGUUAAAGAGAGGUAUUAUCGCUCGCAUGGCCCAGUUGGAUCCCAAUCCAUUCUGGACUCAGCAAAAAGAGAGCUUGGUCGCUAACGGAAUCUUAAAUAAAGAUGCAGAGUUUACUAGGAAGACGCUGAUGGAAUACUUUACUAAAUUAGAAACCGAAGAAGGGAAAGAGUCUUGUAUUUAUCAAAAACUUCUCAAAACAAGAGAAAACAUCGCAAGAAAUGGUAAAUUUAAUUAAAGUUCUAUUAGUCAGAAAUUCUUUGUCAAACAAGUUCUUUCUUUAAAAAAAUUGGAAAGAAUCCUUACUACUAUAUACGAGGGCCACCUAGCUUAGGCUAGUCAUAAUUCGUGAAUACUCCUUCUUUGCCAGGGCUAGCUCCAAUUCUAUUAUAAAAAAAAGUGAAUGGUGCUGCAUCUCCUUAGUGAAGGGUGGGUGGACUGGUGAGCCGCUUACACUUUAUGUGAGGAGAAAGGAGCUAUCAAGCUUAAUGUAGUCCCUAGACCAGACAGAGGUUCUAGGGGGAGUCCGGAUAGAGGAUUCCUUUAAGCGGUCUGCCCGCAGAUGUAGGAAGGCUGAAAUUUAAGCCUCUCGAACUGCGUACCAAAAGCAACUCUAUUGUCGGAAAAAUAGGCUUGAUCAGAGCCCUGCCAGUUCGAGUCUGGCGAGUUGCUGAAAAGAAUGAAAGCAAGCAAGAGAUAAAGAUCUAGUUAGACUUGCCAGGUAAAAAAAAUGGCUGGAGAAUCAUUGCUAAUCCUCAAUCCUCAUCCAAUCCAACUCAAGCACCAGCAAAGGUAAGAAAGGCAAUUGGCCUACUCGAGAAGAGAAUCAUUGCUAAUCCUCAAUCCUCCUCCAAUUCAACUCAAGCACCAGCAAAGGUAACAAAGGCAAUUGGCCUACUCGAGACAUUGAGUAGUGUCAAUUUAUGUCAUGAGCUCCUUUUCAAGCCCCAAGAGGGCUUUCUAACAAAGAGAACGGCGCAUUCGAGAACAUCUGUGCGGGGAUAUCUAAACUAUUGGAUUCACCUCAGAGAAAGCACUUUACUGUUUGACCCGUAUCCGAGGGUCACU